AAAGAAAUAAGGAUAGAGUCCUACAUAUGUGUAGUUUGACCAUGUGGUGAUUUCUUAUAAAAAAAACUUUAACUUUUCUACAUUAAAACCAACACCAAUGAUAUUUGAAAUGAAAUCAAAAUAAAUUAAGUUCAGAAACGCUUCAAAAGAAAAUAUACUUCUUGUUCAUGCUAAUCUAAAACAGACUCACAUAAUAAAAACAAACACAUCAAAUGCCAAAAACAAACAAAAAAAGAAAGGAAAGUGAAACGGUACCCACAAGUGACGCUCGCGGAAAAUUGUUUUUCGAAAGGCUCCGAUCACCACUCAGUAGCGGCAAUGGGAAAGGAGAAUGCGGAAGUCGAGGUGGUUAGUCGUGAAGUGCGAACAACACGGUCACGAAACAGAGUCGGUGAUGGUUGGUUAUGAAAAC
RNAcentral lists this long non-coding RNA (412 nucleotides) under Lathyrus oleraceus (garden pea). RNAcentral describes it as "Pisum sativum (pea) long non-coding RNA (PSAT_LNC013821)". Lineage: Eukaryota; Viridiplantae; Streptophyta; Magnoliopsida; Fabales; Fabaceae. The record is from RNAcentral.